GCUGCAGCCACAUAGCUGACCCAGGAGCCCUCAGGGGCCAAAGACCUACUCACUUCAUCCUGCCAACGUCGCAAUUGUCAGGUUCUCAUUCUGUCACCCAGACUGGAGUGCAGUGGUGCAAUCUCGUCUCACUGCAGCUUCAACCUCCCAAUCUCAGCUGAUCCUCCUUCUGCAGUCCCCCAAGCUGGGACUACAGGUGCACAUCACCAUGCCUGGGAUCAAAAUCCAAAUUGACUGUAUGAUCAUCACUGGCAUCUUCCAAAGUUGCUUUCAUCAGAAACUAUGUCCCAGCAUUCCAGCCCCACCACUGUCCCUACCAACCCUUUGAAGCUUCUACUUCUCAAUUUUUCCUCCAUCUGGUCUAUCACCCAUUCUUUUGCCAUUAUUUUCUGCCUUCAUACCUUGUAUUAUUGCAAAAUUAAUUUCACUGGCCUUUUUGCUAUUGUUGAUAUCAGAAUCCAUUUGAUGCAGUACUCACCAAGCAUUUUGAGCCCCCUAAACCUUCUGAAGACCCCUUACCAAUCUGUUUCUGUAUUGGCUUCUAUCAUUCCAAAUUUUUUGCUUCUGUUGGUACUGACAAUGAAUUAUAUACCCCCUUAUGCACUAUAUUCCCACUGCCUUGCAUGUAGAAAGUGUUUAAUAUGAGUUAAUUAAAUAAGUUA
Molecule: long non-coding RNA, 662 nt
Filed under: Homo sapiens (human)
Lineage: Eukaryota; Metazoa; Chordata; Mammalia; Primates; Hominidae
Description: HSALNT0381421
Source: RNAcentral